This 25-nucleotide non-coding RNA is filed under the name Mus musculus (house mouse). The record is from RNAcentral. Lineage: Eukaryota; Metazoa; Chordata; Mammalia; Rodentia; Muridae.
UUGGAGAUGAGUGGGCACAGCAGAG